GAUCAGCUCAGGACGAACGCUGGCGGCGUGCCUAAUACAUGCAAGUAGAACGCACAGUUUAUACCGUAGCUUGCUACACCAUAGACUGUGAGUUGCGAACGGGUGAGUAACGCGUAGGUAACCUGCCUGGUAGCGGGGGAUAACUAUUGGAAACGAUAGCUAAUACCGCAUAAUAUUAAUUAUUGCAUGAUAAUUAAUUGAAAGGUGCAAUUGCACCACUACCAGAUGG
This 229-nucleotide ribosomal RNA is filed under the name uncultured bacterium. RNAcentral's name for it is "partial 16S ribosomal RNA". It matches the Rfam family "Bacterial small subunit ribosomal RNA", at positions 15 to 228 of the family's 1533-position model. The record is from RNAcentral.